CUAAAGAACCUGGCUUUUACAUUGAUAGAGGACGGGCAAUUGCAGAAAAAAUUUAUACAGGAUCCAGAAGAACUAUGCACCAGAAAAUUAAAAUGAUGAAUGAACCUGUAUCUGGAAAAGUGCUACAUUCUAUCUAUAGAUGAGCUAAUCUGCAUUAUUCUCCAACUACAGGACAUAUGUUAACAAGCUGAAACCUCCUGUCCUAACUAUUUAAGCACAAGAAUUUUCAAACAGAAAGAAAGGAAGGGGAAAUGAGAAUGGACAGAAAAAGAAAGAAACAGGGAGAGAGGAAAAGGGAAGGAAGGAGGAAGACAAAAGAGGAAGUAAGAAAAAUGAAAGCCCCUUUCAAAGAAUGGGAAAGAAUAAAGGAAGGCUUUGAUAUACUGUUAAUAUCAUAUAAGAUUAUGAUGAUUGAAAGGAAAUGGUGGCUCAUGUA
Hemicordylus capensis (graceful crag lizard) is the source of this 436-nucleotide long non-coding RNA. RefSeq lists it as uncharacterized. The transcript is spliced from 3 exons. The record is from RefSeq and is a predicted model, not a curated record. Lineage: Eukaryota; Metazoa; Chordata; Lepidosauria; Squamata; Cordylidae.